This 253-nucleotide ribosomal RNA is filed under the name uncultured bacterium. Its description in RNAcentral is "partial 16S ribosomal RNA". It matches the Rfam family "Bacterial small subunit ribosomal RNA", at positions 524 to 776 of the family's 1533-position model. The record is from RNAcentral.
UACAGAGGGUGCGAGCGUUGUCCGGAAUCACUGGGCGUAAAGGGCGCGUAGGCGGCCCGGUAAGGUUGCGGUGAAAGUCCAGGGCUCAACCCUGGAAUGCCAGUGGAAACUGUCGAGCUAGAGUCCGGAAGAGGCGAGUGGAAUUCCUGGUGUAGCGGUGAAAUGCGCAGAUAUCAGGAGGAACACCAAUGGCGAAGGCAGCUCGCUGGGACGGUACUGACGCUGAGGUGCGAAAGCGUGGGGAGCAAACAGG